This 80-nucleotide non-coding RNA is filed under the name Vallitalea guaymasensis. RNAcentral's name for it is "S10-Clostridia ribosomal protein leader". It matches the Rfam family "S10-Clostridia ribosomal protein leader". Lineage: Bacteria; Bacillati; Bacillota; Clostridia; Lachnospirales; Vallitaleaceae. The record is from RNAcentral.
GAUAGCUUAGAAGUGUGAGGUUGCCGCAUAAGCGGGUAAUUCACAUGGAGCGAAUGUCAUGUUCAAGAAACUGGCGGCAA